GUGACGCCAGCUUCAACGGGUACAAAACUCAAAACAUGAACAACAAUAUAUAUUACCAAUCUUCAAACCUGGUUUGCCUAGAACUGGAAUACAGUUGCCUGCGACAUAUUUUAGAAGAACUAGAAAAGUCAAAGUAAUGGAUAACAGAAAAGAGCCUCCAUUCUUCAAUGAUGAUAACAUGGGACCAUUUUACUACAGACUUCAUUUCUGUGAUACCAUGGAGCUCUUCAUUGAAACAUUAACUGGAACAUGUUUUGAGCUGAGAGUUUCACCUUUUGAAACUGUUAUUUCUGUGAAAGCAAAAAUUCGAAGAUUGGAAGGUAUUCCCAUCUGUCGACAACACUUAAUUU
This 350-nucleotide long non-coding RNA is filed under the name Homo sapiens (human). RNAcentral's name for it is "HSALNT0162166". Lineage: Eukaryota; Metazoa; Chordata; Mammalia; Primates; Hominidae. The record is from RNAcentral.